UCCUCCCUGUUCUAACUAAAUAAAAGUAGCUGUCUCCUUUUUAUUUUACUUCAAUUUCAUUUGAAGGUUCUAGGAUUGGAUCAUCAUGAAUAUUUCAUUUGGAUUCGGGGGAGUCUACAAUCCUGGAACAUGGGGAGGCGGAUAUAACCCAUAUAGACCUGUUAAUGGGUUUGGAUACGCUCCUCGCUAUGUUCCCCCACCCCCUAGAUGGGGCUAUGGACCAGGUUGGGGCUAUGGCAAUUAUCCUUCUUAUGGUCCUCGUGGUGGUCAUUGGGGUGGUCAUCGGGGUGGUCGUCCCAGGCACUAUCAUUGAUUCUAGAAUGAACUGAGAAGGAAGCAACCUGAGCAGUCAAGAACAAAACGAUUUGGAUCCCUUUAAAAUAUGCAAAUAUAUGUAAUAUUUACUAUACAUGUGUAUGAUAGCCAAAUUUCAAACCUUAUGCAAUUAUUCUUAAGAAAUAAUAAAUUUGAUUCCUCUCUGGCUCAUUA
Molecule: long non-coding RNA, 489 nt
Organism: Bufo bufo (common toad)
Lineage: Eukaryota; Metazoa; Chordata; Amphibia; Anura; Bufonidae
Exons: 4
Source: RefSeq, a predicted model, not a curated record